This 690-nucleotide long non-coding RNA is filed under the name Felis catus (domestic cat). RNAcentral describes it as "lncRNA (ENSFCAG00000047877.1)". The record is from RNAcentral. Lineage: Eukaryota; Metazoa; Chordata; Mammalia; Carnivora; Felidae.
GCUCCAGGUCUCCGUGAACUUGCUGUUUAACACCGGAUCAUCACUUUGCCUCUUUUAGUCUCUUCAUCAGAAAUCUUAGGUGACUCCACAAAACUAACUCCAGACAGAAGACAUUGGCAGUGUGGCUGUUUAUCUGCCCCCAAACCUUUCAUGUAGGUUAACAAGCUCUAGGCUGAUGAUGUUUUUAUCAAUAUCUUCCUUGAAAUUUGAGUUGAAAGGAUUGUAGAGACUGCUUCACAAAACCUGUAUUCCGGAAAUGGAGUAAGAACUGGCCAACAGCACAUAGUUCAAGUUUUGGCUCCUCUACCUACUGGCCUCAUAACCUCUUUUCAGAAGACUCUAAAAGAGGCCCUAAGGCUACAAAGAGAGUGAGAAGCCCCCACUGACCACAGCCUUCCAGCUGCCCCUACCAAGGCUCCAGAAAUAUGAAUGAAACCAUCUUGGACCUUCUAGAAUAACCUAGCGGCCAAGCGAACACCGGAAGAAUCGCCCACCCAAGCCCUUCCCAAAUUCCUGGCCCACAAAAUCAUGAGAUAAAAUUAAAUGUGAUUUAAUCCGUCAGGCUUAGGGCUAGUUUGUUAUGCACUAAUAGAUAAUCACAAGACCCUUCUAUUCUUAACACCUAGCACAAUAUUUGACAUAGAGUAAACAUUCAAUAAAUGUAUAUAUUUUUUAAUAUUGACUGUGUAA